GAGAGUAAAAGAAUGCUCUAGACCUGCUAAGUCCAAGAGCCCGCAGUUAAACUCUGUGGUACUCCC
This 66-nucleotide transfer RNA is filed under the name Ophioplocus japonicus. Its description in RNAcentral is "tRNA-Ser". The record is from RNAcentral. Lineage: Eukaryota; Metazoa; Echinodermata; Ophiuroidea; Amphilepidida; Ophiolepididae.